RNAcentral lists this transfer RNA (72 nucleotides) under Camelus bactrianus (Bactrian camel). It matches the Rfam family "tRNA". Rfam says of the family: Transfer RNA (tRNA) molecules are approximately 80 nucleotides in length. Their secondary structure includes four short double-helical elements and three loops (D, anti-codon, and T loops). RNAcentral also lists the same sequence under 2 other names. The record is from Rfam by way of RNAcentral. Lineage: Eukaryota; Metazoa; Chordata; Mammalia; Artiodactyla; Camelidae.
GUGGGUAUAGCUCUGUGGUAGAGUGCAUGCCUAGCAUGCAUGAGGAUCUGGGUUCAAUCCCCAGCACCUCCA